UACGUAGGUGGCAAGCGUUGUCCGGAUUUAUUGGGUUUAAAGGGUGCGUAGGCGGCCCCCUAAGUCAGUGGUGAAAUACGGCAGCUUAACUGUCGAGGUGCCAUUGAUACUGGGAGGCUUGAGUACUGAUGAGGUAGGCGGAAUUGACGGUGUAGCGGUGAAAUGCUUAGAUAUCGUCAAGAACACCGAUAGCGAAGGCAGCUUACUAAGGAGUAACUGACGCUGAGGCACGAAAGUGCGGGGAUCAAACAGG
Molecule: ribosomal RNA, 253 nt
Filed under: uncultured bacterium
Lineage: Bacteria
Description: partial 16S ribosomal RNA
Rfam family: Bacterial small subunit ribosomal RNA
Source: RNAcentral